This 3367-nucleotide long non-coding RNA is filed under the name Sus scrofa (pig). RNAcentral describes it as "lncRNA (ENSSSCG00025053721.1)". Lineage: Eukaryota; Metazoa; Chordata; Mammalia; Artiodactyla; Suidae. The record is from RNAcentral.
ACUCUUGAAAUAGGAAGUCAAAGGAAAGCCAGAAUCAGAGAAAUCAAAUUAGAUUUAAAAUUCUUGUGAGCUCUCGGAAUGCAAGAUCAGGAUACACAUUUCGUCCUGAACAACUAAACCAAACAAAGCACGACACCAUUUAAUCAGAGGGCAAGAAUAAUCAAGACUCUGCGGCAGAUGAGGACCUGGCUCUGUAAGUGGACAAGACCCCUCAAGGCGGACCUGGGGUUCAAAUAAAGGUCUUCUGACAUCCGCUGCAAUUUAUCAGAAGACUCCCCAACCUUUUCUGGUGAUUUACAAGUCAGAAGGAACCGGUGGGGAGGGAGAAAAAAUCAGAGGAGAAGUGAAGCCUGCACCAUCCCAUUGAUGUCGAGAAACUGCAAUUCCUAUUAAGAACACUUGACUGUUUACUCAGCACGAGAACUUCAGCCUCAGUCUGCAUCAAUCUAAAUGCGUUUCGAGACGUCAGGCCCCCGAAAAGUGCAGACGAGGAGAAGGCUAAUCCACACCAUGGCUACAAAGCAAUGGCUGUUCCCUCCAAAGCUCUGCCAGCUCUAAGAAGGAGCAACCACAGCGAUGGUGGCGAUUGUGGCAUUAAAGACAACAUCCUUCGCUUAUCACAACAGUUUAGAAAGUACCUUUGGGUCUUCAUUAUCUCCAGCGACACGGGGGGAACCGAGGCCAGGGGGGAACCGAGGCCAGGGGAGGAAGAGCGUGUAAUCUCUGCACGGUCCCAUGAAUAAUACACCUGAACUUGGGUUCCGAUCAGGACUUCUGCAUCCGAAUGCAAGGCCACCCAGUGGUUUUCAUGAGGACGUGCUGCUGCUUUCUUUCCUCCUGGGGCCUGGAACCUUGUGAGCCUGAAUCCAGAAACAAACCCCAGCCAAGUUUGUUUUCAUGAAAUUGAAAGCCAAGAAGUCAAGCCCAUGGACUGGCUUCUAGCGAACUGAAUAUUAAAAAGGUAUUACAAGGAGAAUCCACCUGCCUGGCUGAUUGUUUCUUCCCCAAAUGGAUGAGAUGAUGAACGAAUGCUUUCAUUUACAUCAACAAUCAGUUGAAAGGGCUUCGCCAAAUAUUCAGUCCUCCCUAAGCCAAAAGUUACCAACUGAGUGCCUCCAAAGGACCAAAGGAAAAGAAAGCAGAAUGAGCAUCUUCUGUUUGGAGUUCAAGUUCCUUCUGCGACUUGCUUCUUGUCUCUAACCUCAACCUUUCUAUCAUUAAAUGGGAAGACCAGUACCUGGCAGCACAAUUAGAAUUAUUAAAUGAAACAUUAUUAACACAUGUACAAGGAAUAUAGUUAAACAUAUGAUAGGUGCUUAAUAAAUGUUGGCUUUAUCCCCCCUCCGCCCCCGCAAUGAGUUAACUUUUCUCAGUGUGUUGACAGGGGUUGGCAGAUGUGGACAAGGUGGGUUCUGCUGAAGCAGAGGUUGCCAGAGAUCCCCAGGUCUGCCAUCCACCCCCUUCCUGAGGACAGAGCUAGAUCACAUGUACCAGCCUCCUUCCUAUCAGGCACUGCCACAUGCUUUCCCGUACAACUCUCCAUGCUCUGGUCCCCUCUGGCUUGAUGAAGAAAAGUACUGUGAGCUUGAAAGCUUCUCUUUCCUUCAGGGCACACCCAUUAGAAUGAACUUAAGCAAGAAAUAAACUUCAGAAGUGUUAACGCACUAGAAGUUGAGGGUUUAUUUGUUUUAGUAGCUGGGGUUAAUCUUCUCCAGUACGUACACACAAUAUUGUUCAUCCAUUUGCAAAUAGAUCAGACACACGUAUAUGUCACCAACACAUAUACACACAUGCGUCAACACACAUAGACGAACCAACACAUAUACACAUACAUAGCCACGCACAUAUACCAACACAUCAGAAAUUUAGCAUUUUGUGAGCACGAUGAACAUUUUAUUGACUUGGUUCUCAAGUUUUCGCCUGGUUAGUCUUGUCCUUGCAACUUAAAUAAUACUAUUAAGAAUUUUUAAAUUUAUAGUUGAAUUUAUAUUCGAAAGACUUUGAGACUAGCCAGUCUGACGGAUGGCCAUCCUCUGCCUGAACCCCUCCUGUAACGUGGUAUCCACCGCCCUCCAUGGAAACGGAUGGUCAGGCAUCUCUGAGUGCUACAAUCAUGGGCUUUCUCUCAAGAACAGGGCUGCCUUCUCCAAGAUCUAUCCAUUUCCCAUGGCUCCACCGUCUGACAAAUCAAGUAGCAGCCUGUUGGUUUUUCUACAGGGAAGCCCAUUAAGCAAUUGAAAAUACAGUCACUUUGGCUGUAACUCUUGUCUAGAAAACACACAUUUGUUUCCUUGUAAUUGAUAGAUUAAGGAACCAUUUAAAUAUUAUGCAAAAUGUGCCUUUGCUUGUGUGCCAUUUCCUCUGCAGGAAACAUUGGGUGAAAGCAGAAAAACGCACCCAUGUGAAUGGGGUCCUGUGGAAAUGCAGGCUGUCCACCUGUACCUGCAGGUACUCCUCACACACCUGUCUACCACCCAGUCUUCUGUGUGUGUCUUGAUUCAUAGCUCUGCUCCAGCUUUUCCUCCGGUUUCAGAAAACCGUCCUUCCACCCCUUUGCAAUAACGCGCAAGCUUCAACUCUUCCAACGCUCACUUUUAUAAGCAACUUUGAGCCUUUUUCUGGAGGAAGUACUGUAUCUAGUGCAGUAUUCACAUGUUUUUCUGAACCUUUGAGCAUGUGCAACUUUUUCUAUUGGGUCUUUUAAAAAUUGUUUUUCCAAUAUGCCAUUGAGAAAGUGUUUGAAUGUUGAGUUCCAGCCUAAUUUUUUCCAUAAUUCUGUGGUUUUUCUUGCACAGUUUUGCAUAGUGGGUGAUUUUUAGGAAUGCAUAUAUCACAUUUUAGCUGAACUGACUGUGGAACUUAUAUCUUCUGUUAAUCUGUUAAUAGAAUGGGGUGUAUUUGUCAGUAAGGUACAUCUCCACGUUGUCUCAAUAAAAAAGUACCAUUUGCCAGGUCUGGCCUGAUGCUGGCCACCCAGCAAUACACAGACACAUGUAGUCCUUGCUCAUUUAGAGCUUGCAGAUUAUAGGCCCACCAACCCCUAAUUCUCCUGGGAGGGAGAAUAAAUUGGCAAACAGGAGGAUGCUGAUGAAAUGCCAUAAUUUCUUUAUUUUUUUAAAGUGAAAAAUAUGAUAAUUGAUUUCUUUUAUUGAAAUGGUGUAAUUUUGGAGUUCCUGUCGUGGCUCAGUGGUUAAUGAAUCUGACUAGGAACCAUGAGGUUGUGGGUUCGAUCCCUGGCCUUGCUCAGUGGGUUAAGGAUCCGGCAUUGCCGUGAGCUGUGGUGUAGGUCGCAGACGGGCUCAGAUCCUGCGUUGCUGUGGCUCUGGUGUAGGCCGGCGGCUACAGCUCCGAUUAGACCCCUAGCCUG